Molecule: ribosomal RNA, 496 nt
Filed under: uncultured bacterium
Lineage: Bacteria
Description: partial 16S ribosomal RNA
Rfam family: Bacterial small subunit ribosomal RNA
Source: RNAcentral
GAUGAACGCUGGCGGCGUGCCUAAUACAUGCAAGUCGAGCGAACGGACGAGAAGCUUGCUUUUCUGAUGUUAGCGGCGGACGGGUGAGUAACACGUGGAUAACCUACCUAUAAGACUGGGAUAACUUCGGGAAACCGGAGCUAAUACCGGAUAAUAUUUUGAACCGCAUGGUUCAAAAGUGAAAGACGGUCUUGCUGUCACUUAUAGAUGGAUCCGCGCUGCAUUAGCUAGUUGGUAAGGUAACGGCUUACCAAGGCAACGAUGCAUAGCCGACCUGAGAGGGUGAUCGGCCACACUGGACCUGAGACACGGUCCAGACUCUACGGGAGGCAGCAGUAGGGAAUCUUCCGCAAUGGGCGAAAGCCUGACGGAGCAACGCCGCGUGAGUGAUGAAGGUCUUCGGAUCGUAAAACUCUGUUAUUAGGGAAGAACAUAUGUGUAAGUAACUGUGCACAUCUUGACGGUACCUAAUCAGAAAGCCACGGCUAACUACGUG